RNAcentral lists this long non-coding RNA (739 nucleotides) under Mustela putorius furo (domestic ferret). RNAcentral's name for it is "lncRNA (ENSMPUG00000026351.1)". The record is from RNAcentral. Lineage: Eukaryota; Metazoa; Chordata; Mammalia; Carnivora; Mustelidae.
GGAUGAUGAACAGGGCUGUUGAACAGCAGAGCUCUUCAUUUCAAUGCUUCUUCUUGGGCACAUGUACCCGGACAUAGCUCAGUCCGUUCUGUAAAUUAAGGUAGACGUGCAGGCCAGUGAUUUCUAGUUGAGGCAGAGGGUCUGCUCUCAGGGUCCCCCCUUGGCCCCAUGCUGCCCACACGGAUGCUGAUGUUCACCGGCUCUGGGAUGUGAGCUUCAGGGAAAGUGCUUGAGGAAGGGACGCUUUCGCAGCUGUCUUGCAGUGGGAAGACAAGCAGCUGGUACUGCUUCCGAGGUGGAAAUCUUGAGCGGUACUGCUCUGCUAUCAGCCAACGCGGGUGAGCCUGGAGGAGCCAGUGUGACUUUGCUGUGGAUGCUGAGUUUACUUCUGACUCACACAUCAGAGGAAACCUCUCUCACACAGCGUGGAGAAGCUCACUGUCUUAAGGUGAGCCGGUCACCCCUCUUGGUAACAGCAGCUCUUCUUUUCUCUCUGGGUGUCAGAGUAGCUCACCCUAAACCACCAGCCGCUUUACACUAAUGAGCUGACCUCCUCUGAGACCCAGGUCAAGUGCCCUGCCCAAGGCCAUGAUGGAGGGCCCAUGGAGACAGCAGGCCUGGCGAGCAUGGCGUCCUGCCAGACAAUGCCUCUCCCCUACAGUCUCCUUGACUCUCGCUACCCGGAUAGACACACCAUCUGACACUGUCCUGCAGUGAAUAAAGGAAAAGAAGAAACCAG